This 7603-nucleotide long non-coding RNA is filed under the name Malus domestica (apple). Its description in RNAcentral is "long non-coding RNA (MDOM_LNC017143)". The record is from RNAcentral. Lineage: Eukaryota; Viridiplantae; Streptophyta; Magnoliopsida; Rosales; Rosaceae.
AAAAUUACAAGUCGUAGUUUUAAAAUAAUAAUUAGCCGGUCCAUCCUUCCGAAGGUCAGAAAGAUUCACAGAGGCUUUUGACCCUCCCUUGUCCAUCAUCAUAUGAUUUAUUAGCGCCAGGAGUUGAACCCAAAACGUAUCAUGUGAAAUACAGAAGUAUGCAUUAACAGAUCUAGUAAUGGAAAUUUAGUAACAGAAAUCAAGCACUUGAAAAUGUGCAUAGCAGCAAUUCUCAAAAGGAUGAAAUGAGAAGAUAUCACAUUAACAACAUAGAAAUAAGAUAAACAAUGCAUCUGUAUUAUCUUCCCAAAGAGGAUGAGAAAAACAGUAAAUCUGUAGGAUUUCAACUGAAUUAGUACUACGCAUUCCACCAACCGUGGCACAAACAUCCUUCGGAAUCAUCCAACCGUGGCAUCCUACCGGCAGCGGUGGUGGCAUGGAUAGUAGCAUUUCAUAACUCCGUCCAGCUCUGCCGUGACUUUCUGCUUCUCCCUGUACGGCUGCUGCUCUUCAUCUUCACCCAUAAAACUUCUCAACUCUGACUAUGGAAUCUGCUUCGACUAACAAUCGACAGCUACUAACACCCGCUGCUUCAACUUUCCUACAUCUUUUCUUCAUCGCCCUUCGGUAAGUCUCCAGGACAGGAACCAAACACAGAACGAGCUAAAAACAUGUUCAAAAUAAACUUCUGGAUCUCUUAUGUGUCCCCUCCUGUUUCUUUUCCAAUCAACCAUUCUUGUGUAACCUCCUCUCCUCCUCACAAAUCUAAUCUUCACUCUCUUUUGUUCCCCUUUUUUCUCUUUUUUUUUCUAUUUUUUUAUUUAUUUUCAAUUUCGUUUCCCGGGAGAUUAUCUCUAGCUUCACAAGCUGCGGCUUCCUCCUGGUAACACAAACCCUUACUGCCCCAACCAAGCAUGCACUAAACAGCUUCUGCCCACUUUCGAACACCCGAACCUUGUGGAUUCUGAUCCACAACCAACAGCAAAUGAAUACCUGAUGUCUUUCUCUUAGCCAAAAAGGCAAAAUUGAUACCUGUUCUCCUGACAGAAUAUGGCGCACUUGGGAGCGCCCUUGUCUCCAUGCUUCUCUUGACUGUUAAGUAGACUCUCCAAACAAUGCAAGCAAAGCAAGUCUAGACAAAAUGUCUCCUCAUAAUCGCAGUCUUUAAGGCAGCACCCGCAACUAAUACAGCGAGCUAUGCAGAGCGUGCAAGCCCUACAUGUCUGAUCAGCAGGUUGUUUCCCUUGGCAACUCUUUGCAGGGCAAUCAUAAACUAAACUAAGUCUCUGGCACCUGGGGCAUGCUUCGAUGUCGAUGGGACAAUCAUCAUCACAAGAGCCAUACAACAACCCACCUUUAAAAAACCGAGGUUAAUUUCGGGGCUCUAAGCUGAAUGUGGUGAAUUCAGAGAAACCCUAGUGGAAAUUGGGAAUUAGGAAUUCAGAGAAGCAAAAUCCUAAUGUGGGUAGUAGAUAAAAGAAAAGAUUGAAACGGGUACGGAGAUUAAAAGGAGAAAGAUUGAAAUUUACCGAAUCUGAUGCGGAAGAGGAAAAGCAGUCUGACCCAGCGAUACAAGCAACCGACCGACCAAUCACCCAACUCAAUGAGGAAAGAGGUAGAGAGAGAGAGAGAGAGAGAGAGAGAGAGAGAGAGAGAGAGAGAGAGAGGAGGAGGAGGAGGAAAACCAAAGAGGAGGAGGAGGAGAAGGAGAGGGAGGGAGGUAUUCAGAGAGGGAGAUAACAACAGAGCGUGCGUGCCAAAAAUGGGGGGCACAGAGAGUAAGGGCGGGGAAGGUUGGGAAAAAGACGCGUGGAGGGAGAGAGAGAGAGAGUGGCGGCCGACAGGUCUACCACCUGGAAUCGUGAUUUGUUUUGGAUCAAUGUAUCAAAAAAUGUAACAUGCGUAGUACAAUUAAAAGUGAACGUAAUUUUUAUUUAUACAUUUUUCUUCAUCUCAUCAUGCGUAAAGUACAUCCAUAUCUAGCUUCCUAGCUGCUCCUCUAUACUUGAAACUACUCCUACUGUUGGUCAUGAACGAGUACAGAUAAGAUUAAAAAAUAACGAGUAAAAAUAAUAUCCCAAAUCUAGACCGUGGUAGAAGUUAUUUGAGGAAGCUCAUCAUUUUGUUCUUCAGGUUCUGUUGCGAAACGUCGGAUAAUCAUGUUCAAAUAAUCUUUCAAUUUGCCAAAUGUAUGAAUAACUGAUGCAAAUGCAUUUUCAUACAACGUUUUGAGGUAUUCGCACUCAGCUACAACCUUCACAAACCAAACAACCCAAAAGAAUCCAGCGACUAGCCCUAAACUUGGCACAAGGAUCACCACUUCUAAAAUCAAGGAAAGAGUUCCAAGGAGUAGGCUAAUCUUAUUGCUGAAUGAUUUUGCCAAAUCCGAAUUACUACGAGCUUGCACGUGGAGUAUUCUAUAGCCAAUUAGUGAUCCGAUAUAAGCAAUUAGAGCAAUGAUUAGAGACACCAUAGCCGGGUAGUUUGUGUUGAACAGAGACUCAUUUCUGGCUCCCUGCUUGAGUUGGAGGAAAACGCCUAGCAUGGCGAUGAGGAAACAUAUAUAUUUAUGCACCUUUGUAGAACAUUCUUCACUUGUGCUGUUAUAUAUAUAUAUAUAUAUAUAUAUAUAUAUAUAUAUAUAUAUAUAUAUAUAUAUAUAUAUAUAUAUAUAUAUAUAUAUAUAUAUAGUUAAUGAGAAUUAAAUGGAAUUGCACUAAUGAAUCAUCUACAAUAUUUUUUGUAAUCUCAGCUAAUAAGAAAAUGCUAGGGAGACCAUAUUUUUAUAUCACAUUUGUGUACUAAUAUGACAUGACAAGUGAUGUGUACAUACCACAUAAUUGGAUGUUGGUUGUACACAUCACAUGUCAAUACAUCUGUAAAUUAAUCAAGUCAAUAUAUGAUCUGAAAUCAACUAAUUAAGAACGUAUGAUAGAUCCAUAAAUUAAUCAAGUCAAUAUGCCAUCUGAAAUCAACUGAUUAAAUAGGUAAGUUUUACCUAGCAAGCUGUUAUUUUCUUCAAUUUUUAUUAAUAACGAAAAUAUCUAGCCAUUCGACGCUCUUAAUUUAUCAAAAAAUUGCCUAGAGUUAUCAAGAGCUGAUUUGUAUAGAUUAAUUGCUAAUUAAUCGGUUCUUUUUGGUCUCCCCAUCAUUUUCCCCACGUAAAAGGCAACAAAAAAAAGAAAAAGUAUACACUUACCCUUCCAGUUCCGAAUGUGGAUGGACGCUAACGGGAAGCCCUGCGACACGAUCCAUCUGCGUAUAUAUGAAACUUCUGUACAGAGGAACACAAAAACAAAAUUCAGAUCAAAGACUCGUCACACCUUCACACACACACACGCAGACGCAAGAGCUCUGUUUUUUUGUUCUUUUUGUUUUUGAAAUUCCGCCAAAGGAGAACACUCCAAAACAGACGAAAAUACGGCCAAUAGCGGCCGUCAAGCUUAAGACAGUAAUGAAGAUGGCAAGCAGAUAUUCAAAUGGUAACGAGUGAAAUGCGAGCUAAAAAACGCUGUUACUUGAGAACUACACGCACAAAAUGAAACUUGAGAACUACACGCACAAAAUGAAGGCACAAAGAAUAAAAGGGACUUGUUCGAACCAGAAAUAUGAUCUUGUGAGUGAAACAAUGCAACUGGGUGCUGUGCGGCGGUGAUGUUGGGCAGAAGAGAAGGCCUUCUGUCAGCAUAUAUAGAUAUGGUGCAUGAAUGGGAAGUAUGACUACUUCUUCGAAACAGCAUUUUCCCAGAAUGAUCAAUAUUGUUCUUCUUUUAAAAAGCAACGACUGGAGUGGGAAAGUGGCAAAAAGAUUCCUUCGCUCAUUCAAAAAUGAAUCAUGUUUUGGGCUGUUAUUUUGGAGGUGCAUUCUGUGCCCUCCCAUUUUGGGCAGUUAUUUUGGAGGUGGAUUCUCUGCCCUCUCAUUUCCAAACUUUCUCCAUCCCUUUCUAUUUGUGUGCUCACGGUUAAGUCAUGUCAACAUUUUAUAUUUCUAUUACUUUUUGUUUUAUUAUUUUUAUAAAAAAUUAAUAUAAAAUAUUAAUAUGGCUUAACCGUGACCACACAUAGCAGGAGGUCAUAUGAAGAGUAUGGAAAUAGGAGGGCAGACAAUCCACCUCUGUUAUUUUGGGGGCAAAAAGAAAUGUUCUAACUUGUCUCAUAUCUGAUUUUAAAAUCCAUUCUUGAUGUUGUUUCAGGGAGCUUAAGGGGAGGGAUCCCCAUUUUUUCAAAAAAAAUGAGGACACGCUCCCCACCGUUAGAUUGACUUUAAUGAAAUUGUGUGGUUGAGAUUAAAACACAGGCCACAGAAUCUCAACCACAGGAUUUCAUUAAAGUCAAAUGCAACGGUGGGGAACGUAUUCCCAAUUUUUUGAAAAAAUGGGAAUCCCUCCCCUUAAGCAAUUCCGAUGUUGUUUAUUCUUUUCAUUUCUUUUAAAUGCGCGUGUGUUGACAUGCAGAAAAUACUACCAAUCUUACGUGCUCUUGCAAAGUUAAAGCAUAUGAUAAUUCGACGGUCUCCAUUUUGACACAACAGCAAAUCUUUUUAAAUGCGUGUGUGUUUGAGCUGCAUGCAGAAGCUCGCCCCAAUAAUAUUGAUUUCACUAUCACAAACUCCAAAUAUUGAUUCAUGAGGACCACCAAAAAAUCAAUAAAGCAUUGCGAACUCAUGAGGACCACCAAAAUAUUGAUUCUUAAAAUUAGUGCUCUAUCUAGAAAGCUAUUGAUUCAUUCAUUAAAAUUAGUUUUCUAUCUAAAAAGCUAUUGAUUCAUUAAAAUUAGAGAACUUUAACGAAAAGCACCCGGUACUGUUCACUUUAACGAAAAAUCACAUUUUUACACUAAAAUGUCAAUCCUGGUACUAUUCACGUUACCCUUUAUUUUGUCCUUAUCAUUAAAACUUAAAGUUUUCAAGCUCUUUUCAUUAGUUUUCCUUUAAAAUUAGUGCUCUAUCCAUUGAUUCAUUCAUUAAAAUUAGUUUUCUAUCUGAAAAGCUAUUGAUUCAUUAAAAUUAGUGCUCUAUCCAUUGAUUCAUUAAAAUUAGUGCUCUAUCCAUUGAUUCAUUCAUUAAAAUUAGUUUUCUAUCUAAAAAGCUAUUGAUUCAAAAGCGUUGCGUUGUCCAAAAAGAAAAAUCUUUGCGAACUCAUGAGAAUCAUCAAAUCAGCGAUAUCCAAGUUCUACUUAUGAACACACCUUUUUUCAGUUUGACAAGUGAAAUUUGUAUUUAUGGUCUAUACUUGAAAAAAAGAAUUGAGGUUUCUAUUACAAAAUUAAUUGUCAACAUGGGAAAGAAUCAAACUUCUUAUAAGGACUUACAAGAUUGAGCAAACUUCCAAUGUGUGGCAUUUCUUUACAUACCUUCACAACAACAAAUGUCCCUCCAAGUUGACCUAAGAACAAAGGAAUAAAAAAAAAAAGGAAAAAACACGAACACAUUUGUAAAGGAAAAUAAUUUCGCAUGCACUCCGAUAUCAUUGAGAGAUUUUUUAACAUGCCCGGAACACGGCAAAGCAUCACAUAUUAUUAUACAAUUAGAGAAAUUUUUUUUUAAGUAUUCCAACAAUAUUGACAUGUGGUGUUCUGUCUCAGUGCUCCGAUCCUACUAAAAAAUCUUUAGAUAUCAUAGGCUUUCUAAUUAAUAAAACACUAUUAUUUUUAUGUUGAUUUUUCUUUAAUUUAUUAAAUUUAAAUGUCAUAAAUAAACAAAAAGAACAGAGAAAAAUUGUGGACCCUGCAAUGAUUCAAUCAAAUAUCCCUUAUAUUAAAGUGUAUAUCUUCUGGAAAUCUGCAUAUUAACAUGUAAUUAACUCAGGGAUAACAUAAGCAUUUCAUUCUACCUUCACAUAUCACUUGCAUUCAGAAAGGAACCGAAUUACAAUAUCUUAAUUUCUUUUUCUUCUUAAGAAAAGCCAUGGUCAUGCAUCUACACAAACAGCAAAAAUUAGGAAAAACAACUUAAUUAAUUAGGGUUUUAAUUGAUGACAAACAACUUACAUAGAACACUGAGAUUCUCUUACCUUUGAAUCACUGUGAUAGGAGUUUCACUUCUUUCUCUCAUCCACAAGUCAGUCUUUUUUUUUUUAAUUCUAAGAAGUGAUUUUUCUUUGAUUUAUUCAAUUUGAAAUUAAAAAAAAUGCAAAAAAAAGAAAAAUAUGUGCAAAAAUCACUUCUCGUGUUUGUAAAGACUGUGAACCAACAAUGGAUGCCCUUGCAUAUAUUCAAUAUUCUUAAAUUGAACUUGGUUAAAUUAGGUUUUUCUUUUCCCUGUGUAUAGAGAGCUAUUAUUGGCACUCCCAUACAAAAAGUGCAGAGAAUUUUGGAGCGCUAAGCAGAUAAAAGACAAUCUCAUUUCAAAGGCCCAAUAAUGUUAAGAAUGUUCGGCCCAAAACAAAUCUAUUGAUGAGUUGAACCGGGUUUUGCUUUUUUCACAUAAGUGUAGUAUUGAGGUAGAAGAGAGAAAUGAACGAGUUGAACCGGGUUUAGGUCAAGCAAAAUAUCAAUUUGAAUCACUGGACACGGAGUCGGUUCAGGACCAACAGGAUCCUCUCCGGAUCUUUUGGUGAGAAUCCUGGGUCCCAUGAAUUAUGUCAGUUUAUAGUACAUCGUACGGUCAGUUUUUAUCAAGUACUAUUUGUGUUUAAUUUUAAAUAAAAUUAUUUAAAAUUAUUUCUGACAACAUGAUGUACGAUGAAAUGACACGAUUCACGGAUCUCCGAAAUUCUCACAAAGAGGAUCCGGCGAGGUUUAGGAAAAACCAACCCUAACCCACAGUUGUUCUAGAAAAUUCUUAACUAUCUAUAACAUGAUCACGUUCCGUAUAAGUUCUUUUUUUUUAUAACAUAUAUUUAUUUUUUAUUAAUAAUCCAGAGAAGUGAGACACAUCAACUUGUUCUAUGCGAAAAGUGCAAAAAUUUCUCCAUUUUUGUUCCCAAAUUGUAGAAAUUCAUGUCAAACACCGACUCCAUCAUGAUAUUCGAACUAACGACACAAUGUCUAGUGAAAAGUUAAAACACAUAUUUUCCCCAAAAAAAAAAGUUAAAGCACAUAACAUUAAGUAUUGAUCGUAAUGUCACGUGCCAAAAUUACAGGUCGUAGUUUAAAAAAAAAUAAUAAUAAUCAACCGGUGAUUUUGCCACGGCAGUCCAUCAUUCCAAAGGUCAGAAAGAUUCACAAAAGCGUUUGAACCUUCCCUGUCCACCAUUGUGUAAUUUAUCAACGUCAAGGGUUGAACCCAAAACGUAUCGUGUGAAAUACAGAAGUAUGCAUUAACAGAUCUAGUAAUGGAAAUUUAGUAACAGAAAUCAAGCACUUGAAAAUGUGCAUAGCAGCAAUUCUCAAAAGGAUGAAAUGAGACAAACAAUGCAUCUGUAUUAUCUUCCCAAAGAGGAUGCGAAAAACAGUAAAUCUGUAGGAUUUCAACUGAAUUAGUACUACGCAUUCCACCAACCGUGGCACAAACAUUCUUCGGAAUCAUCCAACUGUAGCAUCCUACCGGCAGCGGUGGUGGCAUGGAUAGUAGCAUUUCAUAACUCCGUCCAGCUCUGCCGUGACUUUCUGCUUCUCCCUGUACGGCUGCUGCUCUUCAUCCUCACCCAUAAAACUUCUCAAC